AUGAACGCUGGCGGCAUGCCUAAUACAUGCAAGUCGAACGAAGAAAUGUUGCUUGAAGGUGCUUGCACCGGAUAGUUGCUUUCUUAGUGGCGAACGGGUGAGUAACACGUAGGUAACCUGCCUAGUAGUUGGGAAUAACAAUGGGAAACCGUUGCUAAUACCGAAUAUGAAUUCGAAGGGCAUCCUUUGAAUUUGAAAGGGGCUUUCAAGCCUCGCUAUUAGAUGGACCUGCGGCGCAUUAGCUAGUUGGUGAGAUAACAGCUCACCAAGGCGAGGAUACGUAGCCGACCUGAGAGGGUGAUCGGCCACAAUGGGACUGAGACACGGCCCAUACUCCUACGGGAGGCAGCAGUAGGGAGUUUUCGGCAAUGGGGGAACCCUGACCGAGCAAUGCCGCGUGAGUUAUUGAAGGUCUUAUGGAUCGUAAGGCUCUGUUGUAGGGGAUGAAACGUCUAGGGAGGAAAUGUCCUAGACUUGACAGUACCUUACCAGAAAGCCACGGCUAACUACGUGCCAGCAGCUGC
Molecule: ribosomal RNA, 524 nt
Filed under: uncultured bacterium
Lineage: Bacteria
Description: bacterial SSU rRNA
Rfam family: Bacterial small subunit ribosomal RNA
Source: RNAcentral